UAUGUUCAAUGCUUACGUUGAUUUUUUCUAUAUUUUCUAUUUCUAACAAAAUAUGGUUUUGAACUUUUUUUUUAUUUUAGUAGCCUUAGUUUAUGUGUAACAGUAUAAACUGGCACAAAUUGGUUUUGGAUGUUAGUGUAUGAUGAUGGAUGGAUGGAUGGAUGGAUGGAUGGGUAGAUUAGUGACUUUCCCAGGAUCACACGGCUGUUGAUACACAGCUGGGACUUAACAGCCAUUGCUGAGGGAUGUUAAACACUGAAGUACCUGGUGAAAAAGAGCUCCAGGGUUACCAUGACAACUACAGAAGUCCUCUAAUUUCCACCUUCUGUGUGAGGAUCAGAAUCAGAACCUUAUUUACAGGCACAGAGGUUAAAACUCUCAGGAGGAACUACCAGCCAGGCUGUCCCUAUGAUAUCAAAGCCCAGGCUGGGGCUCAGAAUCAGCAAUUGGAUGAAACCAAAAGGUGCAUAGCUCACCGAGUUCAUUGGGACCAGCUUCUUCCCACACAAUCCUCUGAAUUCACCCCUCCCUCCACAUUGUUCCCGUGUCUCCUUUUGGCUCCCAGCUGAAUCGGUUGUCAUCAGGUGCCCUAUGCAAGGCACAAUGGAAGAACCAGACCUGUCCCUGCACCGGGCUAUGUGCAACUCUCUGCCUACCAGUGACCUCCUUCACACUUUCCACAACCCUCAGACCCACCUGCAUUUCCCCU
Molecule: long non-coding RNA, 709 nt
Filed under: Fukomys damarensis (Damara mole-rat)
Lineage: Eukaryota; Metazoa; Chordata; Mammalia; Rodentia; Bathyergidae
Description: lncRNA (ENSFDAG00000026660.1)
Source: RNAcentral